RNAcentral lists this ribosomal RNA (467 nucleotides) under uncultured bacterium. RNAcentral's name for it is "partial 16S ribosomal RNA". It matches the Rfam family "Bacterial small subunit ribosomal RNA", at positions 28 to 507 of the family's 1533-position model. The record is from RNAcentral.
GACGAACGCUGGCGGCGUGCUUAACACAUGCCAGUCGAACGGAAAGGCCCUGCUUUUGUGGGGUGCUCGAGUGGCGAACGGGUGAGUAACACGUGAGUAACCUGCCCGUGACUUUGGGAUAACUUCAGGAAACUGGGGCUAAUACCGGAUAGGAGCUCCUGCUGCAUGGUGGGGGUUGGAAAGUUUCGGCGGUUGGGGAUGGACUCGCGGCUUAUCAGCUUGUUGGUGGGGUAGUGGCUUACCAAGGCUUUGACGGGUAGCCGGCCUGAGGGGUGACCGGCCACAUUGGGACUGAGAUACGGCCCAGACUCCUACGGGAGGCAGCAGUGGGGAAUAUUGCACAAUGGGCGGAAGCCUGAUGCAGCAACGCCGCGUGCGGGAUGACGGCCUUCGGGUUGUAAACCGCUUUCGCCUGUGACGAAGCGUGAGUGACGGUAAUGGGUAAAGAAGCACCGGCUAACUACGUG